CCUACGGGAGGCAGCAGUGGGGGAUAUUGCACAAUGGGGGAAACCCUGAUGCAGCGACGCCGCGUGAGUGAAGAAGUAUUUCGGUAUGUAAAGCUCUGUCAGCAGGGAAGAAAAUGACGGUACCUGCUUAAGAAGCCCCGGCUAACUACGUGCCAGCAGCCGCGGUAAUACGUAGGGGGCAAGCGGUAUCCGGAUUUACUGGGUGGAAAGGGAGCGUAGACGGCAGCGCAGGUCUGGAGUGAAAUGCCGGGGCUCAACCCCGGGACUGCUUUGGAAACUGUGCAGCUGGAGUGCAGGAGAGGUAAGCGGAAUUCCUGGUGUAGCGGUGAAAUGCGUAGAUAUUAGGAGGAACACCAGUGGCGAAGGCGGCUUACUGGACUGUAACUGACGUUGAGGCUCGAAAGCGUGGGGAGCAAACAGGAUUAGAUACCCUAGUAGUC
This 440-nucleotide ribosomal RNA is filed under the name uncultured bacterium. Its description in RNAcentral is "partial 16S ribosomal RNA". It matches the Rfam family "Bacterial small subunit ribosomal RNA", at positions 338 to 795 of the family's 1533-position model. The record is from RNAcentral.